Arachis duranensis is the source of this 996-nucleotide long non-coding RNA. RefSeq lists it as uncharacterized. The record is from RefSeq and is a predicted model, not a curated record. The transcript has 2 exons. NCBI's taxonomy places the organism in Eukaryota, Viridiplantae, Streptophyta, Magnoliopsida, Fabales, Fabaceae.
CUAAAUCAAAACAAGCAAAACAUACACUCAGAAGGGGAAGAAAAGAAACGGGGGAAACAGAGAGGGGGAAACGGGAAGAAGAGGAAGGAGAAGAGAGGGACGGGAUGGAAGGGAAGGCGCCGGAAAGACCAUCGUCGCCGUCGCCGUCAGGUGAAGGUGGAGGAGUGACUGAGAGAGAGUAGGACGUGAGGAAGGAGAAGAGAGAUUGAGAGAGGGAGACGGAGAGCUCAAGAGCAAGGAAGGGGAGGAAGGCUGCUCCCGUCAUCAUCGCCGAUUCUGCCUAGACCGCCGCCGUCGCCAUUGAGGGAGUCACUGCCUCCGAAUCCUAGCCGUCGCUGCUGUCAGAAGAACGAACCUGGAAGGAGAAGGAUGAGGUCUGUUCUCGCACUGUCCUGCUCUGCCACCGCCGCUGCCGUCGAUUGGGGUCACACCGUUGCUGUUGCGCCCUGUUUUCUUUGAUAGAGCCACUGUUGAGAGUCUGCCGUCAGAGAAGCAUUGUCGGCGUUGCUGCUGUAAACUAUUUCAGCUACUGCCCUGGUAUUGCUCGGUCACCACCGCCUCCUUCGUCCUUGUCUCUGAAUUCUGUACCAUUCACGACCUAUUUUGAUUAUUGUUAUUCUUUCUUGCCGCUUCUGCCUCCGUCGAUCGAACAGAAUGUGAGAAGGGAGAGGAGUUGUGUUCUUGUGCUGUCGUCGUCGUUGCCGAAACAAGGACAAAUUUACCGGAGAUAGUGUUGAUGAUAAUAAAGAACUGUUAGAGUUGCUGCUGCUGCUGCUAGUUUGGUUCGAGUCUGUUGCUGCUACAAACUAAAACAAAAGAGGGGUUUGCUGCUCUUAAUUAUCAAAUUUCGCCUAAUCGAGGGAGGGGGUUUACUUUAAACGGUUUUAAUUUAAGAAUGUCGACAAAGUUUAUUGGAUAACUGUAAAUAGGUAUAAUAGUUGUGAGUGAUUGAUUGAUUAUAUGAAUGUUAAAUUGUGGCUGAGAUUGUGAUUGGAA